AUGCUGAAAUUAUUAAAUCUUUUUUUAAUAGUAAAUUUUUGAAUUGUUACGUUUCUAAUAUCCGCUGUUGUGUUGCAGAUAAUGGGGAUAAUUUAUUUAGGAAAAAAAGUCAUAAAAUAAAGCAUUUAUGAGUAUGUGCAUUAUAGAUAGAUAAAAAAGAAAAAAAAAGUGGCAUCCAUGCGUCUGGUCGUGCCUAUUGUGUAGAGUUUCUUCGAAAACUCAAAAAGGUCAGCAGUUGCUCGGCAGUGGGGUCAAACGCCGCCUUCAGUGGCACCCCUUCCACGUACCCUCCCGAGACAAUCUUCUCUAUAAGGAUACAAAUUCGUGUGCCAUUAUUCCUCUGUGUUUAUACCACGGUGGUUUUACAUCGCACGCUUCACUGACGGCGUUUAAUAGCCAAGUUAAUUAAAGAGAAUACUUGCCUGACUGCUAUGUUAGUUGACAUCUCAGAUGAAUGACAAAAACCAGAAGUUAAGGGAAAAACAAUGGGAUGCAAAGGAAACAAACUCACUAGGGUCGGUGACUGGACACCUUGAUUGCGUGCUGAGAACGGUAUGGGAAAUGUCGCGUGCAUCUUCUUGGUCCCAUCAUAACAAUGACCCGUUCCCAUAGUCUCAUUUAACAUUGUUUUCGAACGAUUGGAUCAUUUCGUAAGAAUUCUUAGUUGUGCGGACUUCUGAGUUCGGAUGGAGUGGUUUCUGUACUUAAUUAACAAGAGGACAAUUAUCUGUUGUAUAUUCGGGUGAAUGGACAGCAGUUUUAUGGUGGCGAAGUCAAGAGGUAACGCCCCCUGAUUAGUCCCCUUUUGUUUUCAUGGAGUUGUCGCUUGAAGGAACUCUGGGGUCAUAUUUUCCUUAGACGUGGAGAUGGCGAGGUAUGUAAAUCUAAACCCAAAAACUAUUUUCAAACAAAUGUUUGAAAUUAUCGCUUUUUAGUAUAUACAAGGAUUUCUUUUUUAUUAUUUUUUAAACUCGUCCACAACUAGUCGGGAAUUUAUCUCUUAUGUUUGGUGAAUUUUAUGUUCGAGAUUUUUUUACUGCUAUUCUAUCUCGGUGAAGUUUGAUGUUAAAGCUUUGGAGUAUGGCUGUAAUGAGGGAUAAGGACAACUUUUACUGCCCAUGAUAUGUGGAAUCUUGAUGAGUAUACCUCCCCUUGCGAUGAAAAGUCUGUUUUACUGUACGACUUAGUGACCACACCUAACUGUUUUUGGCUAGGGGCGAGAUGCGUUUUAUUCGAUGGACGCAACCGAUGCAAAGUAAGUAAUUUUAGAUAUAUAUAUAUAUAUAUGUAUAUAUACUAUAUAUAUAUUUUCUUCUAUCGGUCGAUUUUUAGUGCUGAAGGUGGGUAUACAAACGGUAAUAUUUGUCUAGAUUAAUGAUCUCAUCUUGGCAUCUGACUCUUUAACUAUUUGGCACGAAUCGACUCUAAAAUUCUUGAUAUGGCGUAGUUAGAUUUUUAUUAUCUGUUGCUUUAUAUACUAUAGAAAAUUAAAUAAGUCUGUAAUUUAAUAGUGGCGAUGAUGAGCGAGAUAGCGGAUCACACUAUAUCCGAACGCAUCCCGUCCACGCGUAUCCAUGCACUGUCUGCCAGGCGUACUAAAACACUUCAUGCUUUGUCACAAUCGUUUCUUCACAGAACGAAGUCAAGGAGAAAAAUACUUCAAAUGUAAAGAAAAAAACCGUUAUGAUGCUAUCUAAGUCCGAGAUAUUAACACCUUCCUGGCACAUCAUUCAUUGCAGCCACACCGAGACCAUCCGAGUUUUAAAUGCGUAACAGCAAAGCCCGUAUAAGCGGUCAUGAGGCAGCAAUGCGAGAUUUUUUUCCAAAAUUUGGAUACUUUUUUAAGGUGAUAUUAGCUUCGGAGCGAAAAUUGAGAUAUCAUUAUCCUCUCCCCUGAUGAAAAUUAUGUCCAGAAAGGGGCGGGAAAAUUACUACCUAAGAUGGCGACUUCCCCAUUCUUUUGCAGAAAAGAGAUUUAAAAAAAGUAAAAUAAAAAUAUACUAAAGUAGUAUGUUUGGAAAAUUAAAAUAUAGUGUUAAAAUAAGAUAAAAAAAACAUUUCACACUCCGACUUUCGAUAAAAUUUGUAUGUUUUUAGUCAUCAGUCGAGAUUGUAGACACAAGUUUAUUUGAUUGCCAUUUUAUACAAUCUUUAUGACAGCAAAGAUAUAAAAUCGGUUACAGAAAAUGUUAUGCUGACCUUCUGGGUUGAUAUCCCUGGGGCUAAAACGACAAAGGGAUGUUUUGGGAAAAGCUGAAGUGGAAUGUAGAACCUGUAAUUUUUCCUUCUCAUUCUACAGAGACAUCCUGGAUGAGAAGGGCAGGAGGGGUACAUUCAAAGAAAAAAAAAAAAAUAUAUAUAUAUGUAUCUCAUAGCUGAACAUUUAUUAAACGCUCGGAACUGAAUCGGAAACUAUUUUAAUAAUACUUCCAGACAAAAACAGAUUUGGGUGCUUGCUUCUACAUUUUUUUAAUCUUUUGUUCACUGCACUUAAUGCAGUCUUUCCCUCUUCCUAAUAAACUUUUUAAUGGAUCGUUCGCAUUUUUUCAUUAUUAUUUUUUUCACUAUUAUAUAUUUUUCUCUAUAAAGGUCGAAAAA
Molecule: long non-coding RNA, 2598 nt
Filed under: Androctonus crassicauda
Lineage: Eukaryota; Metazoa; Arthropoda; Arachnida; Scorpiones; Buthidae
Source: RNAcentral